GGGGAUGUAGCUCAAAUUGCAGAGCGCUUAAUCGGCAUUUAAGAGGCAGGGGGUUCGAUACCUCCCAUCUCCA
Molecule: transfer RNA, 73 nt
Filed under: Triticum aestivum (bread wheat)
Lineage: Eukaryota; Viridiplantae; Streptophyta; Magnoliopsida; Poales; Poaceae
Also listed under: 1 other name
Rfam family: tRNA
About the family: Transfer RNA (tRNA) molecules are approximately 80 nucleotides in length. Their secondary structure includes four short double-helical elements and three loops (D, anti-codon, and T loops).
Source: Rfam by way of RNAcentral